AGCCGAAAGUGCUAAGCCCAAAAGAAAUCAGCAAAGAACAAAACAAAAGCAAAAAGCAAAUAAACAAAUUAGGAAAGUGGAAAAGGACAAAAGUCCCUCUAGAUUCCUCCUAGCAUCAUCUUCUUUGGAACCCCUCUUUCAUCAGUGAGCUAUUGGAGCUCCAAAUCAAACUUGAGCUUCCAACUGGGUCUCCAUGAAGCUCGUCUCGCUCGAUUAAAACCAAUAAAUCAGCAGCAGAGGACGAAACGGAAGCAUUGGAAGUUCGAAUCUUUGUAUACCAGGAAGAACAUGUAAAAUCUGAAUCGAUAUUAACUCCUUUGACAAGGUUAUUGUUGCUCUUUCUUCCAUUGUUGGUCUCCAGAUGAAGGAAACUCAACAGAACUUGCAGCUGCGGCUCCUCUUCCUCGAGCGUUCCGCUUUCUCAACCAAAUCGGAGCUGAAGCUCGAUUCAAUUAGGUACUCGAUGUCGAUCCAAGAUCGUAUAGAUUCUGUGGAUAGAGUAUUGUUGGUAAUCUAUCAAUUUAGCCUCAGAUUUCUGGGAUUUGCAUUAUUGUACAGCUUGUGCAAAGUAUUUAUGAACUUCAGCAACCAGUCAGAACAAUUGUAUCAUUUUUCUUACCAAAGGACCUUGUGAUCCACUCUUUCGAAGGUUCCCCUUGCUGGCAUUUUAGAGGCUUCUGGAGUGGCUUGUGCCUCUUAUCAGUUUAUGGAUAUGUCUAAGGAGUGGUGGAGGUCAAUUCUUGCUCUUAGACUCAUUGGUACCCCUAUGAUGAUUUGAGAUCAGUUUAUCGAGACAUCACUUUAGAGAUUUUAGCCAGGGUUAUCCUAGUGGCACCUGAUUAUUCUAACAGAGAUCCUAUAUUAGAUUAGGUGGUGAGAUCCAGUGCAUUCAGAUUACUAUCAUUUCUAUCUUUAUUUGUAGUCUUUAAUUUUAAUCAUAGACACUGAGUUCUAUGUACUGUUUCAAAUAUUUUAUUAGAUGAUCUUUAUACCUAUGAUAUCAGGUUUUGAGA
Solanum dulcamara is the source of this 1013-nucleotide RNA transcript. RefSeq lists it as uncharacterized. NCBI's taxonomy places the organism in Eukaryota, Viridiplantae, Streptophyta, Magnoliopsida, Solanales, Solanaceae. The transcript is spliced from 6 exons. The record is from RefSeq and is a predicted model, not a curated record.